UUCGAUGCUCGCAGACUUCCACUGUUGUAAUACAUGAAUUUUUGCUUGAGAAUCCUCCAAGCACCUCACUAUAGAAGGUAGAAUGAAAAUUGCAACAAAAAAAUCCUAAUCUUAAUAGAAUACUAACUAAAUUCUAAUUGGACUAUAAUAAUGUUAAGCAAUCUUUAAUCAAAUUUAAAGAAACUUCAAAGGAAUUAGUAAGAAACAAUAAGAAAUCUUAAAAAAAUAUUAGAAUGAUCACAAAUAUAUUUCAAAUAGAUCUCAAUUCAAAUUUAAUUUAAUCCUAAUUAAAAUCCUAUUGGACUUCAUUCAAACUUUUGGCUAAAAACUAACUAAAUCUUAAAUCCUCAACAAACUCAAAUAAAACUCUAAACCCUAAAUCAAACCCUAACUAAAUCUUAAAUCCUAAAUCAAAUCCUAAUUAAAUACUAACCUUAAAUCAAACUCUAACUAAAUCCUAAAUUCUAAAUCAAAUCCUAAUCCUAAAUCAAACCCUAACAAAAUCCUAACCAAAUCCUAAUCAAAUCCUAAUCCUAAAUCAAACCCUAAUCAAAUCCUAAUCCUAAAUAAAAUCCUAAUCAAAUCCUAAUCCUAAAUCAAAUCCUAACCAAAUCUUAACCCUAAAUUAAACCUUAAUCAAAUUUUAAUCCUAAAUCAAAUUCUAACCAAUUCUAAUCCUAAAUCAAAUCCUAACCAAAUCUUAAAUCCUAAAUCAAAUUCUAACCAAAUCUUAAAUCCUAAAUCAAAUUCUAACUAAAUCUUAAAUCCUAAAUCAAAUCCUAACCAAAUUCUAAAUCCUAAAUCAAAUCCUAAAUCAAAUCCUAACCAAAUUUUAAAUCAUAAACCAAAUCCUAAUCUUAAAUCAAAUCUCAACCAAAUCCAAAUCAAAUCCUAAAUCCUAAAUCAAAUCCAAAUCAAAUCCUAAUCCUAAAUCAAAUCCUAACCAAAUUCUAAACUAUAAAUCCUAAAUCAAAUCCUAACCAAAUCUGAAUCCUAAAUCAAAUCCUAAUCAAAUCCUAAAUCCUAAACCAAACUCUAAUCCUAAAUCAAACCCUAAUCAAAUCCUAAUCUUAAAUUAGACCUUAACCAAAUCCUAAACGAAAUCCUAAACCCUAAAUCAAAUCCUAGUAAUUCCUACAACAGAUUUAUACCUCAAAUACUAAUGAAUGAACCAUUGAUCUUAACUCAAAAUUUGUAAACUUUUUAGAAAUUUAGUUGAAAACAAGGGCACAAAAAAAUUGAAAAGGAUUGAAAUACCAAAUAGACGAUAGCCUCAAAAACGUGCUUGGAUAUUGGCCAGCCUCCUUCUCUGACCUUGAUGCCAAUCUCUCAUAGCCAAUAUCUCUCUUUUUCACCAUUUAAUUGAUUUCAAAAUUCUCAUACACAUAGGAAAACAAGUCUAAUAUCUUCUCAUAAAAUUUCACUUCAAUCCAACUAAUAGAUUGCAAGAAAUCUUAAAAACCCUCACUAGACCUAAAAUUUUACUUUCUGAGACCUUGACUCACUUAAACCUCAAUAAUCCUCAAUUCAACUAUUAGAUCGAGCUAAGAUUCACAACACAUAUUAAAUACAACUAUGACCAUUAAUCUACAAAAUUUCAUUUGUAGAUUUAUUACAAAACUCUUGAAAUCAUUAGAAAUAUCAAUCCUAUUUUAUUCACAAAAUCCAAGAUAUCCGAAAACAAUCUUAACUUUGUAAAGCUCUUACAAAGUCAUAACAACUCUAAAUUAUACAAAACUAAUGCUCAUAGAAACCAUAUUUAGUUUGCUAUCAAAUCCUACUCUCUAAUCUAUAAAAGAUCUCCGAAGUCAUCGUCGAGACUCAAUUUUGUGCCUUAGGGUCUGAUUUCGACCCUGGUUCAUAACCGGCCCUCUUUAGGUGUCAAUUUCUAGUUUUUCUAAGUAAAAUUUUUAAAGAAUUUACUCUUAACUUCCUUCUAAAGAUGCUUAUAUCAUUUAUUUUUCCAAUCUAUUUUGUUUUGCCUUAUUUAUGGUCCUACAAAGUAAAUAGAAGUCACCUUUCUAAAAAGAUAGUAUUGGUACCUUUUAAUUUUACUACCCUUUUGACUAUUAACUAUAUUUCUAAGAUAAUUUGCUCUAAUACUUUGAACUAAGAUCUCCUACAUUAUAAUAAUUUCCACACUCUUUGACCUAUUAGUCGUGUUAUAUCAUGACAUCGUGGAGAUACCUUUCAAAUCAGCAUAAGUCCAAGUGAAAGUAGAUUUAUGGUGAAUGAAAAAAUCUUUCCAAUAUGUCAAUUCUUAAUCUUGAACAUCUUUGUAAAUUUUAAUUGUCCAAGGUAUUUUAUUUGUUGCCAAAGUAAUAAUUUGAUAUAAAGGUUCAGAUGCCUUUUCCUAUUUCAACUCCCUCAUAGGUUUUAAUCCAUUUCCGAGUCCGACAUAGUGGAAGUACUCAAUUCUGAUUCCAGUGCACUAACCCAAUACAUAUCAUGUUUGGUCAUCCAAUCUGUAAUAACAUGAUCAAAAUUUUCUAUAUCUGGUAGGUAUAUCAAAUAUUUUUUCGGUCUUUUAUAUUAAUACACCAUCCUAUUGUACUGAGCUAUCUCAAAAGACACUCCUUCUUUUGGUACGAUGACAUCUUCAUCAAAACUGAGCUCAUCGUGAGAUGUUAAUUCAAAUAUUGGCAUUUGAGAAUCCCCAUAAUAGUGUAUGAGGUACAUUUGUAACACCAUCAUGUCACUACCUUUUUUGAUCAUCAAAGUACCAUGACCACAAUCAUUUUUGGCUUUUGCUUGAUAAAGCCAAAUCGUGUCAAUAAAAUCAAAUAUGAUAAAAUUGAACAUUAUAUUCAAAAAAUGAUAUAGUCUAUUUUGUAUUCAAUACCAAUAAUUAUGGUUUGAAUAUUUUGCAAGUUGUCCAUGGAUUUAACCGAGCUAUGAUCUGCCAUCUAUAAUACCAAUGUCGAGGAAAUUAAAUGUACUAAGUUCAAAGCAUCUAUUGUAUCUACGUUCAUUAAAUUGAUGCUGGAGCGACCAUCUAUUUGGACUCUAGAAAUCAUAAUGUUGUCUAUCGAUACAUCAAUAGUUGACACACUUGGGUCAAGGUUCAAAUUGACCUCAUGAACUUCUUUAUUGUAUUGCCUACACUGUGUUAACGAUGAAUUCAAUAUAGAAUGACACUCCAGUAUUGCUGCUAGAAGCUACUUCAUUGAAAUAGAAGGCUGAAUAGCAUCAAAAUCUUUUAGAAUGUCAUAAGGCUCCAUGUUUAAAGAAAUUUCUAAUAUCUACUUUCUUUUCAUUUGUUUUAGCUUUAUUCCUUGAGGUAACAUAGUUUUCUUUCUUGGACUCGAAAUUGAAACAGCUCAAAGAACUUUCAUAGAAUAUUUGUCCACAAAAAGAUCUUUUAGUAGCUAAGAUGUCUCCUAGGACUGCACAGAGGAUAGAACUGGUUUAGACUGAGUCGAGACCUCGAUGGUUGGGACCUCAUUGGUUUGUAUAGACGGACCAAGUCUCAUCAUUGAUAAGAUGUCCAUUGUAGGAACUGGAUUUGACGUCCCCAUAAUUGGGUUGAAUUUGUCCUUCACAAUAGGUUCACCGAAGUGUUGAAUUGAUUCUUUGUCUUUUUUUGGCUCUUGGUAAGUAUUUCUUUGACACAUUCCACCUAAUUAACUGAAAAAAAUUGAGGACCUCAAUUAUUAUCCUCAAUUUUACUUUGAAGUUGGAUCUGCUGAUUACAGUUGUUGAAAUUGAAUAGAAUAUUAUACUGCUGAUAUAUAUGCCCUGACUGCUUAUAAUUUCUAUAAAUAGGAUAAUCAUCACUAACUCUUGGAUUAGGACAUUCAUUAGUAAAAUAACCAAUCUGUCUGCAACGAUAAGAACAAAGUGGUCUUCUUCCACCUUUGUCAAGCAUAUUGGAUGUGCCUACCAAUAUAUACCGGCUGGACUUGUUCCAAGUUGAAUAGACAAAUGAUCCCGGUUGUCUUGUUGGUAUGGAGGAAACUAGAAUUGAUUGUAGUGAUGGAGAAUAUUACUGAUAUUUUGGUUGUUCCUUCAAAUAAUUAUGGAAGUUCGAUGUAAAAUCCAGAUUAUAAUUUGGACCUUUUAAGUUAUUAAAGGCUCGAUUUUGCCUAUUUGAAUAAGUCUUGUUCCAACCAAUCAUAUUUUUUGUUUGAACUUGAUUGACAUCUCAUUGAGUAAAUGGGAUCAUGGUUUGAUUAUCAAAACUAUUGUUACUUUUUCCAAUUCCAACAAUUAGCUGCCAAAUGCUUUCUUCUACAGAAUGUACAUUGCACCAUCAUUUGUGGAGGAGAGGGGCAUGCUAUCACCAAAUGACCUUCGCCCUUACAAUUAUUGCACCAUAUAUUAGGCCUAGUAUUGGUAGAUUUUUUCCUUUUUUCUUUAUCCUUUGCCAUAUUGACUACCAUUUCCUCCAUUUUUUUAAUCAAAUUUAACAACAAGGUUUUAUUAGAAUCCUUCGGAGCUGAUUCUAUUGGCAAUUCUGCUGUAGUCAAUGGUUGCUAUUGAUAAGAGAAGUAUAGGGACUGUAAUGUUGCCAUGCUUGGUAGUAUAGCUUAGAAUAGGGUGACGUUUAUUGUUCCCUAUGUAUUAGUACUUGAAUUGUCCCAUGUAUCGAACAUUCUCGGAUAACUAACUACUGAACUAUUCCAUGCUGGGAUUUGAUAACCUCCUUGAACUAGAAUCAUAGUAGCUCAUGUAGUUAAAAAUUAAUCAUAAUGGCAUUCUUCUCAAAUCUUGGCUCGAUUAAGAGAUGUAGUUACCAGAUUUGGUUUAGCCUCUUUUAUAAACAUUUUUUUAAUUUGAGUAGGUACAAUUCGUUGAUUAAUAUAGACAAUACAAAAGGCUCUGGCAUUUGAUGAUUUGACCAUUUGUGGAUUAUAUUUGCCUCAUGGCCAUAGUACAAUUCCAUUGCCUCUCCAAGAUUCAUUUUGCUAUUCAUUAAUCUUUCUCAAAGUUGAUCAUCAAAAAUAAUUAAGCAAAAAUGGAUUAAAAAUGCAUUCUUCAAUACUUCUCAAUUAGAAAAUUGAUCCAUGAUUUGGCAGUUAUACCAUUCAAAUGCCGUAUCUUUUAAGAUCGUUGAAAGCCAUCACAACCAAAUAUCUUCAGUUUUAUCAUUAUUGGCUAUACAUGUGGUGAAGAAUUGAAAAAAGUGUUGAUCUGGAUCUACUCUUGGCAAGAUCCUAAAAGUAGGUAAUGGAACCAUGCUAGUUGUGUGAUUGCCCAUGUCACCCAUUUGGACUACUAUUGGAACUACUGAACUACUCAUUUUCAUUGAAGAAGACAAUUUGUCGCUUAAUUUUAUAUUAAAAUUACCACUAACUUCUCUAAUUUUUUUUUAAACUUUUUAACCUCUUUAAUUUACUAUCAAUAUCCCUAAAUAAGUUUAUUAAUAGAAUUAGAGGUAAAAACAAUAGAUUUUGAAAUACACUAAAUUGGCCCUUAUUGGCAAGCAAUUUAUGCCAUUCUACAAGACCAAUUUUGAUAGAAUCGACAGUAUCUGCUAUUGAAAAGGUACCCAAUGGAGUACCUAAUUCUUCUGUGUUUCCUCCACUUGCAAUUAAUAAGCUCAAGAGAUAUGCUAGGCUAUUGACAAAAGUUUCCACAAGCACUCUUAGUAAUUUUCUUAACUAUAUAUAUGUCUGAAAUAUUAGAGGUCAGUUAGCUUUUGGGUAUGCUCGGAUAUGUCGAUAGGCAUGCAACCAUGGCUUAAUCCAACUUUGUCGAUGCUUCCUUUUUAACUUAUAUUCUUGCUCAUUUUACAACAAUUCUCUUGCUUGCUCUCUCUCUUGUCUUUCUUUCAAGUGGCUUGUUUUUUUUACUACAAUAUUUUUAUUCUUAAUAAUCAUAAUCUUUCAUUAUAUACUGCUGAAUUUGCUUCCUAUCUCUCAUCUAACUAUACAAUUUUCUUCACUUUCGAACCAAUUUUAAUUUUAUAACCUCUUUGCGUAACAUCCAAAACUACUCGUUUGGUGGUUAAUUCCUAACAAUCAAUACUAUUGUCAUUCUUUGGCAAUGGUACCAAAAUGUGAUUAUUGUUUUACUUAUUCUACAAAUUUCUUUCUGAAUAAAUCCAUAGAGGGGAAUUCGAAUACAAGGAAAGACUAUUGCAUGAGCUUAUAUGUUAGGGUCACACAAUUAAUCGUAAUCCAAACUACUAAAACACCAAGAAAUACUACAAUACUUUCUUCUAGUAAUAAUACUCUUUUAUCAACUAAUAACAAUAAUGAGCAACCUUGCAUUCUCAAAAGACUGCUCAAAAUACAUAAAUUCCAUCCAACAUCAAAAAUAACAGACUUCACUCCAACCAAUCUGGAUUCAAAUAAUUUCUAUAAUCACAGACUUCUUCUAUCAAAACACACACAACUUUCAAUAAACAACAAUCAUAAUCUUCCAUCUAUAAUCAAUCUUCCAAUAACUUCUCAUAUAAUUCAAUCAUACAGUACUCCAAUUACAUAAUCAAUAACUCAUAAAUCAAUCUCUGAUUUAUUCCACAGAUUCACUUUUCAGUAUUGAAAAACUAUCCAUUAUUCUUCAACAACAAAGAAACAAAGAGGUAGCACUAAGUUUAUCCUAGCUCAUAACUAUCACAGUUUGGUCCUUACAAUCUCUUCUUCAACUUACUUAUGCUUUACUUCUGAAAUUCCAGCUUCUAACCAUCAUUCUCUACUUAAUCAUUUUUCACAAUUAAUUCAAUCAUCCAUCCUAUUGAAUUGACUAUCCUUGGAAUGAUUAAUCUACUUUACUAAUAUCUUACAAAAAUAAAUUUCUACCUCUUCUACAAAUUGACAAUUAGAUUAGAAGUUACAACUCACCAAAGCUCAUUGAUUAAGAUUAGGGCUUGCAAAGAAAAAUCAAAAUUACCUUAUUAUGAAAGUUAUGAGAUAUUUAGAAUUUAUGUAAUAUUAAAGUUACUAAAAAGAGUGUUUUUGAAUACUUUUUAUUUACUUUAAGUACUUUUGAAUUGAAAUUCAAAUUACAUUCUUCUUAUAUGGAUGAAACCUAUUAGGAUUUCUUAGAUAUUUAUAAAACACAACUUCAUCUUCUAUAGCAAGGUGCUUGAUGCACAAACAAGACAAUACAUAUUACAACAUGGCCUUUCAUUGAAAUAAAUAAUCAUAUAGAAUAUGAGUUAGAAAAAGUCUAAGACUCUAGACUAAAAAGAGACAAGUUGAAAUAUGUUAUUUAUUGGCAUGGUAUUAUGAUGUAACAUGGCUAAUAAAAAAAAGAGAGAGAAAAAUAUUAUAUUAUAGAAGAUCUUAUUUUAAAAUAUUAUAUCAAAUUAUUUGAGAAAAUAGGUAAUUGUUAAAAAAAUAGUAAAACUAAAGAAUAGUAUUGCUGAUUUUUUUAUAAAAUAGACUUCUACUUACUUUGUAGGGCCAUGAAUAAGACAAAAUAAAGUAGAUUAAAAAAUAAAAUAAUAUAGACAUCUUUAAGAUGAAGUUAAGAAUAGAUUUUAGUAAAAUUUAUUUUAAGAAGCCAAAAAUUGAUACCUAAAAAAGACCAAUUGUCAACUUGGUCAAAAUUAGAAUGUGAUGUACAAAAUUGUACACCUAUAGUGAUUCUAAGGCUUUUUGAUAGAUCAAACAACAAGGAUUGAGAGAAAAAAUUUAAAGAGAUUUUUAGACAUUAAUUUUCUAUCUAUUGAGUUAAUAUUUUGUUUUGGAAGGAUUUUCAAAGUUAAUAAUACUUUUAGUUGGUUUAGAUUUGAAGAAAUAAAACUAUGUUAAUACAUUUGGAGAUUUCUUAAGUUUUAUAGUAUGUGUAUAAGAAAAUUUUGAGUAGAAUAUUGGUGUGCUAGUUGUUAAUGUAUGUGCAAAUUUUGAAGUCAAUUAAAUAAUUAGAUCAAAAUAUGUGAAGGUUAUUAUAAGAUGAGAUCUUAGAAAUUAGAGUUUAAAGAUCAAUGAGUAUUUUUAAGAUCUUUAGUAAUUUAUUAUUUGGAUUGAAAUGAAUCUUUUUAGUAUAGAGACUAGAUUUGAUUUCCAACAAUUUAAGUGAAGUUUGGAAGAAAUUCAAUAGUUUAAGAAAGAGACAUUGGUGCUAGAAAUUCAACAUUUAGAUUGAAAUAGGAGGCCGACCAAUACCUCAGUGGAUUUUAGGAUUUUUCUUCUAUUUAGUAAGUGUAAUUAUCAUCAAAUUUAUUUUACUUAUUUUAAUUAAGAAAUUGAGAGGUGUGUAAAUUUUUAAGCAAGAUCAACAAUUUAAUCAAUAGAUAUUCGGGUUAAAAUCUACUUUAGAUUUUUAUUAGGAUUUGGUUUAGGAUUUAGUAUUUAGUUAGGAUUUGAUAUAGGAUUUAGUUAAGAUCCAUUAGGAUUUCAAUUAGAAUUAAAGUGGGAUUUGGUUAGGAUUUAUUUUAGAUUUAUUUAAGGUUUUUCUUAUAUUUCUUUAGGAUGUUUUGUAGAUUUCUUUUGGAUUUCUUUAAUAUUUCUUUAAGAUCUACUUAUUAUUUCUUUAUAAUUUCUUUAUAAUUUCUUUAGAAAUUAUUUUAGAUUUUUUCAUGUUUUUUUUGUAAUUUCUUUAAGAUUUCUUUUGGAUUUGAUUAAAACUUGUUUACCAUUAUUAAGGUUUAAUUAGAAUUUAUUUAGGAUUCUUUUAGAGUUUUUAAGAUCUUAUUGUUGCAAUUUUUUUCUACCUUCGACAGCUAAGUACUUGAUGCAUUUUCAAGCAAGAUUUCAAGUAAUACAACAAUACCUAUAAUAUCAAUGAAGGUAUGCAAAAAUCAAUAAAAGAUCGAGUUAAUAUGUAACAAAAGGUACAUGGGUUUUAUUGACACUAUCCUUGAAAAUCUUAAUCUAUUUUAAAAUGACUUCUUUAAGAAGCUAUUGCUAGAAUGUUGUAUAUAAUAAAGAAAUUAGAUAUAAAAUUGAUGCUCCUCGUAGAACUUAGAGUUAGAUGAGAAGGUGAUAUACCUAUAGACAUCUAACUAGAAGAUUUUAGAAAUAUUUUAGAAAUAUUCUAUUAAAUUUUAGAAGGUUACAAAAGUAUCUAAAAAAAAUUCUAGAAAAUUUUUAGAAGGUUUUAAAAAGUUUUAGGACGAUUAAAGAAAUUUUUUAAGAAGUUUUUUAGAAUACUUUAUCUUCAAAUAAUAUGAAAAUUUAUGAAGAAACUUUUGGUUGUUCUUGUUGUAUUCAAGCUUCAAUAUACCAAAGCAAUUGAACUAAUAGAGUGGGUUCGAACAUGGGGAAAGACUGAUUAUAUGAAUUGGGUCUGUUAGUGUCACAAUUGACUAUACUUUAGUUAUCUAAAAUCAAUUAUCAAACUACAAAAUACCAAGGCUUAUUACUUCUGUCUUAAUUCAAGACAUAAUCCAUUCUACGACUAUCAAUUCAAUAAUACUUCCAUAUUCUUAUCCAUUCAUCUCUCACUUACUCUCUUUGCAGUUUAUAUAUAUUCAAUUAUUAAUCUCUAGCUUACUUAUUAUAUUCAGUUUCUCAAUUCAUCACAUAGAAUUCAAUAUCUUCACUUAAUACAACACAAUUUGAUAAUCUCAAUUCUCAAGGUCAUAGAUUUUUUCCAAAAAGGUCAGUCCAAAGUCAUAUUCUACAAUAUUCUAAUCACAAUUUCAACAAUACUUCUCUCAAUCACAAUUCUUCAGAAGUAAAUAAUAAAAGCAAAGAAAAUAAAGAGGUAGCACCAAACUUAACCUGGCUUACGACUCUCACAGUCUGGCUCUGAUCUCCCUUUUCUCAACCUCUUUAUCCUACUAAUAGAUGGACUGUUGGUCAGCACAUUUCAAAGGUUAUGACCCUUUGAAUUGUUAACCAUUUGUUCCACUAACAUCCUACUGUUACCAACUAAACUGCCUAACCAUAAGUCUAAUUCUCAAGGUUGUCAAUAACCAACUAGUAACUUAUCACAAAAUUUAUUUACCUAUUCUACACUUCUUAAGGUUUCUUCAUCUUUAAGUAAUGUAAAUACUUCUAAAAAAACUACCUAAUACUUAGUAUAUAUUAAAGUCAAGGCUAAGACAAUCCUAAGUCUCAACAAAACAUUUCUUGGAGCUUUAAUUCACCUCUUUGGGUGUUGAUCUUAUAUUCAUGUGAUUUAAUCAAGUUCUUAUUAGCUUCUUAUUAAAAUUCUUUUGUUCAAUGUCUUAUUUGGUCUCUUGUAUAGUAUAUCUAUGACAUUAGAAUUUAAAUUAUAAAUAAAAAAGAUAAUUUAUAAUACAUUUUAAUUAUAUAAAUAUAAAUAUAAAUAUAUAUAUAUAUAUAUAUAUAUAUAUAUAUAUGUAAUUUAUAUAUUUUUAUUAUUCUUAAUCUUUGAUUUCUUAAAUUCUAUUAUAUAUUUUUAUUUUCACUUAAUUUUUUAAUUAAUAAUAUUAUUACAACAUAAAAAUAUUAAAAUAAAUAUAUUUUAUAUUAUAUUUAUGACAUUCCAUCAUUAAUAAAAUUUUAUAGAUUUAAAAGCUCAAUUUUUAAUUUUAACUUCUAUUUGAUUAGAAGUAGAAUAAUAGAUGAAAAAAAAAUUAUCUAUUUAUAAUUUUAACUAAUAAAUUAAGAUUUAAUUUUUUUCUUUGUAUAAUAAUAAUAUACAUCAUAUUUUAAGUUAAUUAAUUUCUAUACCUUGAAACAUGAUAAAAAAAUUAUAAUUAUAAUUUCUCAUGUAUUUUAUAGGUCUUAAAAUACAAAAGACCUAUAGUUAAGAAACAUUCAUUGUUUAUUAUACUUUUCAAUGAUAUAGCAAUCAAUAAUUCUUUUAAUAAAAUUAAAAUAAAAUUUUAAAAUGCUAGACAUAUCUCUCAUAGAUAAAUAGAAGUUUAAAAUAACAAAUCUAAAUCAAUAUUUUGAUCUACAUAUAAUCAAUUUUUUUUAAAUAUUUAUAAUUUCUUAAAGAUGAAAUUGUUUUAGCUUUAAAAGGAUUUUUUGUUUUUUAUUGAAUUUGUCCAUCCUUCUUUGAUGCAAGGUAACAACAUUUCAAAAAUAUAUUUGACAAGCUCUAUUUUUUUUCACUGAUAAUUAAAAUUAAAUAUAUACUUAGAUAAGAAUAUAUUUAAAUAAGCUUUAUAAUAACUUAGAACAUUUUUUGACAUAAAAUAAUCUAUGUUCUUAUUAUGUAUAUAAAAAAUCACUAGAUUAGAAGCAUCUUCCAAAUAAUAGCACUAUUCUUGAAAUGAAUCUAUAAUUGCAAGAAGCUCUUUAUUGUGGAUCUUGUGAUUGAUCUUGAUUAUUUUAGAAGAAUGUUACCAUUCUUCUUCUCAAAAAGUCUUGAUAAUCUUUAUAGUAGCUUAAAAUACUACUUAAAAUCUUUUUUUUAACAAAAAUAAAUGUGAUAUAAAAGAUGACUUCUUUUGCAACAUGUAUAAAAGCUCUUAUACUUAUAAAUAAGGAUUUGGUCGUAUUAGACUUAUGACUCUCCACUUGCUUAGAAAAAUUCUUAAUUAAGCUAUAAAAAAAUUAAUAUUAUAAGAAAAAUUAUAUAUUUAAGAAUUACAUAUUUUUUAUCUAUAAUAAACCUAAAAUAGAUAGGUUAAAAUAACUCUAAUAAUACUAAAUAUUACUUAGUUAUUAAGACCAUUUAUUGCUACGUCUACAAGAAUAGUUUUAUAGGUAACAUCUUUAAAAAAAAAUGACAACCAUCUAUGACUUCUAUAUGCAUAAUUUUAUUUUAUUUUAUGAAAGAUAUUUUAUGUUUUUAAAAAAGCCUUUAUUUAAAAAUAAAAUUUAAAUUCAUGAAUUUUAUAAAAAAAAGACUUUGUAAAUAUGAAGUUUCAAAAAUACAUCUCUAAUUUAAUAAGAUAAAAUUUUAAUAGAAUAUAAUAAUUCCUUUAUUAGAUUUUGUAGAAGAUUUUAGCUAUAUGGUAUUGUAUUACUUGAAGCCUUGUUUGAGAAUGUACCAAGUACUUGGUUGUAGAAGGUAGAAGGAAAAUUAUAACAAUAAGAUUCUAUUUCUAAAAGAAUCCUAAAUAACUUUGAGAUUUCUUUGAGCUAAAGAAAUCUUUGACUAAAGAAAUCUCAAAGAAAUCUCAAAGAAAUUAUGGAAAAAGCAUAAAGAAAUCUUAAAGAAAUUCAAAUGAAGUAUUAGAAUAAAAUCUUAAAUAUAUCUUAAAUAAAUUCCAAUCAAAUCUUAAUUUAGUCUUGAUUAAAAUCCUAGUAGUCCUUAUUUAAAUGCUAAGUCAAAUCCUAACUAAAUCCUAAAUAUUUCUAAACUCUAAAUAAAACCUAAAUUCCAACCAAUUCCUAAAUCCUAAAUCAAACCUUGAUCAAAUUAAUCUAAUCCUAGGAUAGUUUAGAACCUCAAUAUCUAUCAAUUAUAAUAUUGAUCUUACUUAGGAUUUUACAUGCCUUUUAACAACUAAAUUAGAAAUAAGCACAUAAAAUUUGAAAAAGAUCAAACUUACUAAAUAGAAAAUCAAAUCUAAAUUCCACUUUGAUAUUAGUCAGCCUCCUACUUCAAUCUAAAUGUUAAACUUCUAGUAUCAAUAUCUCCUUUUUGAACUAUUUAUUUGCCUCUAAAAUACAUCUAAAUUAUUGAAAGUCAAGUCUAGACUUUGUACAAAAAAAAUUCAUUUCAAUUCAAUCAACAAAUUCAUAAAGAUCUUAAAAAUACUCACUAACUCUUGAAUCCCAAUUUCUAAGACCUCAACCUAUAAAAACCUUCUCACACUUCAAACUAAUUGUUUGAUUGACCUUAAAAUUUUCAAAUAUACUAACUAAAAAAUCAACUCAUUGCUCAAAAUUCAUCCAUAUAUAUAUCACAAAACUCAAUAGUCCCUCAAUUUUGUAAACAUAAUUUGUUUUUUCAAAAUCUUAUCCAAUCAAGAACAUAAAUAACUUUGAAAAUCUUCCAAAAAUUGAAUAUUAAAUUGAUUGAUAUAAAACCAAUGCUCAAAAAUCUCUUUAUAAGUUUGUUCUCAAAUUUCACUCUUUGAUCUAUCAAAAAACCUUGGAGUCAUUGUAAGUAUAUGGUUUUGUCUUUUGGGAUCUUAUUUCUAUCAAGGUUGACAACCGAUCUGCUUUGGGUAUUAAUAAUUAGUAAUUUGAAGUAAUUUUUAUUUAAAUUUAUUAAUAAUUUAUUUUCUAAUCAUGUUUAUAUUAAUAAUUUAUCUUAUUUACUUUUAUUUGAGGCAUUUAUAUUCCUACAAAGUAAAUAAAAGCGACUUUUUUAAAAAGCAGUAUUAAGACUCAACCUUUAAUUACCUUCCUAUCAUUUAUCUUUAUUUUUCUACAUCUUUUUAGUAGGCUCUUUUGAAAUAGUGCCAAUGUAUUUCAAGUAUCCAAGAUCCUUUUAAUCCAUAAUAACAUAAAACCUCAUAACAAGAUAGGACAAACUGGACUAGAAUAAAACUGAACAAAACUAAAUAGAAUGAAACAUGGAAGACAAAAUUGAGCAACCAGAAUUAAGACAGAACAAAAUAAAAUAUAAAGAUAUAAAAUCAAAUUGUAUUAAGAGAAAGGAUAUAAAGCCAUAUCUGACCAGAUGUUCCAAAAGGCCCUAGCCAAUCCUAUUUAUACUUUAUUCUACCAUUGUAGACUAUCUAUAAUAUUUGUAGAUAAUACAUCUCACUUAGAUAACCACCUUAAACUCCUUCUCGAAGGUCCAUGAUUGACUCCACUUUGAUACCCAUCUUAAGCCUUUUUUAGAAGGUUCUAUAGUAGAUCCUACUUAGAUAACCAUCCUAAAUUCUUUUAAGAAUGUUUCAAGAUGGAUCCUACUUAGUCCACUAACCUAAUCCUAAUUUAGAAAACUUCCAUAACCUCUCAAAUAUGAUUCUAACUAUCUAUCUCUAUAUGUCAAUAAUACAAAUAUCUUAUUUAUACCAUGUUAUAACUAAUUUCCCUCUACUAAUAUGAAAUGUCCUUAUUUUUCUCUCAUUGAUAUCUCCAAAUUAUUUAUUGGAAAUAGGUGAGAUUUUGUGUAAAUUUUUAUAUUGCAUCGUGGAUGGGAUAACUUUUCUAAAGAACUUGUACUAAAGUUGUUGACAUCCACUACCACAGUAAAGGUAGUAAUGCUCCAAAAUAUUAUCCACUUCAUAUUCUUCUUGGUCAUCAACUACAACUGGUAGUCGUGGUAGUUGAUAUCAAUCCAAAAAGUACUUUGGCUUCGUAUAAAAUUCCAUUAGUUAUAAAAUAUGGAAGACUAGAUGGACUUAAAUAUAUGGCAAAAGCUCCAAGCGGUGUGUAAUAUCAAAAAUUAUAGCAAAAAUAUAAAAAAAUUCAAGCCAACGAAGUGCUAGUUUACAAAUUUAGAUUGAUGUAACAAGUGGCAAAUUGAUGUUAGAGAGUAAUACUUGAUCUUCUUAUUGGAAGAUCUUGUAUUAUUGAUAGCUAUUGACAUAUUAUUUUUAUCAAUUUUGUAUAAUAAAGAGUCAAUGUUAUGCCUCUUCUAAGGUCAUUAUAAGCUAUUGUAUAAAUUCCUCUUUUUUCAAGUUGUUGGUGUCAAUAGAAUAAUAAAGACCUGCUUGUGUAAUCAAAUAUUGAUCAAUAUAAAGAAAAAAUGGUGAAUGACUGAUACUUGCUUAAAUACUAUCAUUGUAAGCAAACUCUAAAAAAAUGAAGUAUUCAUCUCAAAUAUUCUAAUGAAUCACCACAAAUACCCUCAACAUAUCCUCCAAGGUCCGAUUUAUACUUUCUAUUUGCUCAUCUAUUUCAGAGUUGAAGGCUAUAGACAUCGCAAGUCAUAUGCCUAAUAGCUUGAAUAAGGCUUGCCAAAAACUUCUUGUGAAGUAUAGAUCCUGAUUUGAAAUGAUGACAUGAGAUAAUCUAUAGUGAUAAUAAACAAUAUCAAAGAAGACUCAUAUAAGCACUGAGGCAUCAAUAUCUAAGUGCACCAUAGCCAAGUGAAGUUUCUUUGAAAGUUGAUCUAUAACGAUGAAAACUAUAAUAUAAUUAUGAAGCAUUUGCAACAAACACUUAAUAAGAUCUAUAGUCACUUGCUCCUAAUGUGCCGUAGAUAGUAAAAUUGGCUGCAAUAGUCUAAGGAAUGCUACAUUACAUAUUUUAUUAUAUUGACAUGACUCGCACGAGAGUAAAAAAGCUCAAACAUUAUGAUCCAAAUCUGCCAAAAAUUAUGUCCUUGAGAUCUAUUCUAGAGUCUUCUCUCAUCUGAGAUGUCAAGAUAUUAGAAUAUUAUGUCUCUUUUGAGUAUGUACAUUUGAAGUAUAGCAUUUUUAGAUACAUAAAUCCACUUUUUGAAUAGAGUAAGCCAUCACUAAGACUAUAAUUUUGAUACUAUAUAUUGCCUACCUUCAAUCGAUUACUAACCAUCUUAAAAUAAGCAUCCAGAUAUGUACCUUCCUUCCAUUUUGAAUCUUUAGUUAGAUUUGAAAUGACACUACUAAUGGUAGCAGCUUCUACCUUGUCUCUCAAUUUGUCCUUCAAAUCCAAUCUCUUUGAUAAGUUGUUUCACUCAAUAUAUUGUCAUCUUUUAUCAAGGACAUGAACUAAAAGAUGAUGUAUAAAUCAAUAAAAUUUGUGUCAAAGAAAGAGUAAAAAAAAUAGAAAUAAAGAAGUAUGUAUAUUAAAAAGAAACUGACAUGGCUUAUUGCCAAUAGACAUGGAAACUUGAGACUCUUGAAACUAAAUUAAAGGAAAGAAAGGAGUUGAGAAGAGUGAAGAGAGCUUCACUCUUGUCUUUAUAUAUACUAUUUAACUAGUGGCUGCGUGGCAAUGUCCUAUAAGACCUCCAAUAUAUAUUGACUUUAUAGGACACAUGCCUUGACUUUCAAGGAAAAUUUUUCUACAUGUAGAUCAUAUAGUUAGCUUAAUCUUCAAGCUAACAACAUGUGUGGCACAUAGCCAACAUGUUGAUUACUUUUCUAACCCAAAAAAUCAAUUAUAGAUUUUUAUAAAAUCAAAGCAACGUCUAUGAAGCUUCUAAAAAGCUUCUAUAGAAUAUAUUAUAGAAUUAACUUAUUUUUACCUACUUCUACUUAUUUUUAUUUAUUUAUACAUAUAAUUACUAGCUUGUAUGUGUAUGACAUUAUCCUCCCUUCUAGAAAUAAGUCCCAUAAAAAGUGAUCAUCAUAUAUUGAAGAAAUCUAUGAUGCAAUGAAUUGUAUUUGCCACAUACUUAGAUCUUUGUUCUCUUCCAUGGUCGUGAUACCAAACGCAUUGUAUCUUACCAUCAAUUCAAGGAAAAAUAUGUUGUUCUUGAGGAUCUUCAUCUGGAUUGCGUCCUCUUAAAGAUUGUGACAAUUGCAAUGUCUCAUCUAGCAGAUCAACAAACAAAGGUUCUUAAGUCAAAUCCAUUGAUUUUUGGUUCUCCAUCUCUUUAAUGUCACAACUACAAAGAAGCUACAAACAAGGAUUGAAAGUAGAAUGUUAUCUUGCUUAGAUCUUGAUUUUUUUAUAUGGAAGGUUUUUAUCUUGAUUUUAAUGGAUGUCGUCGAUGAAAAGCCUCCACCACCUUUGCUACAUUUACAAGAUUCUUUAUAGGCUCCCAUGUGUAUUCAUUAAUAUCAUAUCCAUGUCAAUGGACAAAAUAUUCCAAUUUAUUUUGGCGCCGCCAUGAAAUUAUGACUCCUUUCACUUUGAACUCUUCAUUAUUGUCGACUUCUAUAAGAAGAGGUAGAAUUUUUCUUCUUCUUAAUAUGUCUACUAUCUUGUAUGGUUCAAAAGAGACAUGUGUAAUAUUAGAUAAAUUUUUAUUGACUCCAAUAGGUGUAAAUAAUAUACAACUUGAUUGAUUUGUACAAAAAUAGGAAAUGGUCCAAGCCUAUGAUAGUCCAACUUUUCUUAAGGAUGAGUGGUCUUAAUAUUGCCAUGAAAUAACCAUACCUUCUCACUCAUGUAGAAUGAUGAUUGUUUUUUUUGAUAGAUAUCCGUAUUGAUCUUUUGUUGUUCUUGAGCUUCUUUUAAUUGCACCUUCAUUGUUGCAUGUAGCUAAAACAAAUGAUUUGCCAAAUCUUCCACCACAAGAUUAUCAGCUUUUGAAAAGUCAAAAGUAUAAAGUCAUGGAUGAUAAUCAAAAUUAGAAAAAAAAGGUGUAUGUUUAGUAGAAGAAUGUAUCGUGUUAUUAUAAACAAACUCUAUCAAUGGCAAAAGUGUUGUCCAAUCAUCUUGUUGAUAGUUGAUGGUACAUCUUAAAUAUUGUUAUAAAACUUGAUUAACAUGCUCUGUUUGUCCAUCAACUUGACGAUGGAAUGCUGAAGAUAGUUUUAUAUCCACUUCUAGAAUCUUGAUACAAACUAAGUUCUUUUUUUGGAUAUAAUAUCCUUGGAUAAUCCAUGAUAGCGAUAGAUGUUGUCAAGAAAGAAUUUAAUUAUUUCUUUAUCUAUGAUAGAUUUUAUACAUGGUACAAAAUAUGCCAUCUUAGUAAAAUAAUCUACUAUCACAAAUAUAGAGUCAUAAGAACUUGAGAUUGGAAGAUCCGUGAUAAAAUCCAUAGAAACAAAAGACCAUAGUUGUUCUAAAAUAGGUAAUGGUUGAAGAAGUCCAUAAGGUCGAUGACGAGGAGUUUUUGAUCUUGAACAAAUAUUGCAUGAUUGAACAAAGUCUUUCAAAUCCAUCCACAUUUGUGGCCACUAAAAAUCUCUAGAUAUAAGCUCUAAAGUCUUGUUGUAUCCAAAAUGUCAUGUUGUUGGAAAGUCAUGACGUACUUGAAGAACAUGUUAUCAUGCUUUUUUUUUUGGAACAUAUAAUCGACCUUCAAAAUAGAGUAGGUUGUUUUUGAACUCAAACUUAGAAGUAUCUUGGGACUUAGAAGAAGAAUUCUUAAUAUUUUGAAUAAGAAGAUUAGAAGAUAUACUUAAUUGGAUUUUUUUACAAGGGUCAAAUCAACACUCAAUAUUGAUUUCAUUACUCAAAGAUGAAAAUACUCUAGCUUCAAGAGAAUUAUUUUUCAUUAAUAAAAAGAUACAUCUCUUUCUUUUGGUACAAGAUAAAAAACAUCUAGAAAGGGCGUUUGAUAAACCUUGUUGUUUUUUGGGUCGAUAUGUGAUCUUGAAAUCAAAUCUUGAUAAAAACAUGCUCCAACGGGCUUCGUAAAGAUUUAAAAUAUAUAUUGAUAUAAAGUACUGAAGAUUCUUGUGAUCCAUAUAUACAAUGAUUAGAUUAGAAGCACCUUCUUUAUGAUGAAACCAUUCUUGAAAUGAAUCCAUAAUUACAAGAAGUUCUUUAUUGUGGAUUUCAUAGUUAAUCUCGGCUACUGAAAAUUUUCUAGAAUGAAAAGCUAUUAGAUGAAAUUUAUCAUCUAUCUCCAUUUGUGAUAAUACGACACCUAAAACAAAGUCUGAUACAUCAAUUUCCAUAAAAAAUGCCUUAGAAAAGUUGACGCAAUAUAAGAUUGGUGUAGAAAUAAAGGCUGACUUCAGAGUUUCAAAAGAUACUUUAGCUUCUCUUCUCCACUCAACUUUGUCUUUGCAAGUUAAACAUGUAAGUAGAGCUGCAACUUGAGAGAAGUCUUUGAUGAAGAUCUCAUAAUAGUCGGCAAAGCCCAAAAAACACUGGACAUCUCUUACCGUUUUUGGAAUCUUCUAAUCCAUAAUAGUUUGAACUAUCUUAGGAUCCAUCACAAGUCCAACAUUUGAAAUGAUGUAUCCUAAGAAGUCGACUUAAGUAGUGUAGAAUACACACUUUUUUAUCUUGGCAUAGAGUUCUGCAUCUCUUAAUUUUUAUAACACACAACCAAGAUGAAGUUCAUAUUCAUCUGUGUUCUUAGAAUAGAUCAAGAUGUCGUCCACAUAACAAACAACAAAAUCAUCUAAAAACUCUCAAAAAAAUAUCAUUCAUUAAAUGCUGAAAAUCUAUUGGUGUAUUUAUAAGUCUAAAAGGCAUGACAUUGUAUUCAAAAUGCCUAUACUUAGUUUCAAAUGCAGUCUUCUAUUCAUCUCUUUUUUUAAUAUAUAUUAGAUUAUAUAUUUUUUAUAGAUCUAUUUUUAUAUAGAAUUUAGCUUGAUUCACUUGAUCAAAAAAAUUACAUAUUAAAAGUAGAGGAUACCUAUUCUUGAUGGUGAUCAUGUUGAGUCUUCAAUAAUCAACAUACAUCUACAAUGAUCCAUCUUUUUUCUUCACAGAUAAGUUUGGAGCUCAUGCUAGUAAUUUAGAUUGGCGUAUAAAAUUCUUGGCCAAAUUUUCUUUAAUAUAUUCCUUAAGUUCAGCCAAUUCAUUUUGUGAUAAACUAUAGAUUAGUCCAAAUGGUAGUUGUGUUCCUUCUUAAAAAUCAAUUGAGUAGUCAGAGGGACGAUGAUAUAGAAGAGUUUCCGCAUUCUCCUUACCAAAUAUAUCUUAAAAUUCUUGAUAUUGGCUAAGAAUGCCACUUAAAGUCUUUGCAUCAUUAAAAACAAGUGUGGCGUAAAUGACAUAAGGUGAUCCUUUUUUUGCAGCAUGUAAGAAAGCUCUUACAUUUAUAAACAUAGGUUUAAUUGCAUUAGACUUAUGACUUUUUAUUUGAUUAAUUUUACUCUUAAUUAUUCUUUUAGAAAAGCCAAGGAUAUGAGAAAACCAACCUAUGCAAGGAGUAUACUUUUUUAACCAUGAUAAAUAUAAAAUGACUAGAUUAGAGAGAAAUCUAAUUAUAUUAAAGUUUAUGCAACUACUAUGACCAUUUAUUGCUACAUCUAUAGGAAGUGUUUCAUGAGUAACACCUCUAAAAGACAAUAGAUGACCAUCUAUGACUUCUACAAGAAUAGUUUUGGUUUUUUGUACUAAUAGUAUUUUAUGACUUUAACAAAUUUUACAUCUAAGAAACAAGUUGAGGCUCUUGAAUCUAUCAAAGAUGAGGCUUUAUAAUUAUUAAGUCGUAAAUACACAUCUAUUAUAAAACAAAGAGAGGAUUUUGAGGAGAUGAUAGGAUCUUUAUUAAAAAUUAUACAAGAUUCUAGCCGCAUAGUGCCUAUUGUAGUUGGGCAAAUUUAUUUUUCGACUUAUUGUCUUUUUUGACAGAUGUGCUUUUCAUUUUGAGUUUUUAUUGCUUCUUUGGAUAAUGUUCAGCAAUGUAUUUGGAUUCUCCAUAAUAUAAGCACAAUCCUUCUUAAUGACGAUGAGUCUUUCUUUGGUGAGUAAGAGGUUUAAAACGUACCACAUCAAUUUGUAUAUCAUCUACUUUUGAAUGUAUGCAUUGAAGAGAUGUUGGUAUUGCCAUCAAAUUUUAGUAACAUUGAGGUUUAUUUGUACAACUUUCAAAUUGAAAUUCAAAAAGUUGAUUGUCGCAUUUCAUAGCAAAGUCAAUUGCUUGAUUUAAUGUAUGAGGAAUAGGUAAGUUGAGCAUCAAUUUCUUUACUUCAUAUUAUAAUCCAUAAAAAAUAUGGCUAAUAAGUGCAACAUUAUCCCUAUUGAUAUCUGUUAUAAGUUGUCAAAAUUGUGAAGUAUAUAACGUUACAGAUCGAUUACAUUAUUGUAAAAUAUGGAUCUUGUUGGUUGCUACAUCAGUUGCAUCAUGUUCUCUAUACAUAGACUAGAAUUUUGCCAAAAAUGCCUCUAAAUUAUCUAAUAUUGGAUCUCGUUAUUUAAAAAAAGAUAAAAACUACGAUAGUGAUGAACCUGAAAGAAGUGUACCAAUGAAUCUAACUUGUGAUCUUAGAGUUGGUUAGCUUCGAGAUUGAAGUUCAAUCAAAAGUUGUACUUAAUUGAUAAAUCCUUGAUAUUUGGAUCUUGUGUCAUCAAACUUCUUGGACAAAGCAACUCUUGGUUCUCCAACACUUGAAGGAUGUUUCACUAUGGAUAGAGGGACAUGAUUUGGUGCAGAUGUUGAAGUAUUUCUAAUCAUUUCUAUAUCCUCACUUCCUCCCAUUCUUGUUGAUCCUUGUGGUAGUAAGCUAAGUUGAUGUAUGGCAAGCAUCAACUCUCUCAAUUACUCUUACAUUAGUGCCAUUGCAUACUUCAUUUCAAGAAGCUCUAUUAUAAUAAAAUUCAAAAAAAUAUCUAAUACUACUUAAGACAAGUAGAGGAAAGAACUUAAAGACAAAGAAAAUACUAAGAAUAAUAUCAGUUAAGAAGAGGAUAAUCCGCAGCUUCUAAUAUGCUUAUGUCUUAUCAUGAGAAGGGAAUAAUCUACUCUUAAUCAAGACAAAACAAAGCUUUGAUAUUACAAGUGUAUUCUUGUCAAUCUGUCAAGGACAUGAAGUAAAAGAUGAUAUAUAAACUAAUGAAAUCUGUGUGAAAGAAAGCAUAACAAAAUAGAAAUAAAGAAGUACGUAUAUUAAAAAAAAAUAGAAUGGAUUAUUGCCAAAAGACAAGGAGACUUGAAACUCUUGAAAGUAUAUUAGAAGCAAAAAAAGAGUUGAAGAAGUUGACAAGAAUGAAGAAGGUUUCACUCUUUUCUCUAUAUAUACUAUCUAACUAAGGGCUAUGUGGCAAUGUUCUAUAAGACCUCCAAUAUUUGUUGACUUUAUAAGAUAUAUUCUUUGACUUUCAAGGUAAAUUUUCCUAUGUAUAGGCCAUAUGGUUAGCUUGGUCUUCAAGCUAACAAUAUGUGAGGCAUAUGGUGUCAAGGACAAAAAUAUGAUAAAGAUAAAUAAACAAGUGAGACUUCUCUCAUAAAAAGAUGACAAAAUAGAAAUAAUUUGAUAUAUAUAUUAAGAAAGAAAUUGGAAUGGCUAUUGCCAAAAGCCAAGAAAACUAGAGACCCUUGAAACUAAACUGGAAGCAAGAAAGGAGUUGACAAGAGUGAAGAAGGCUUCACUCUUAUCUCUAUAUAUAUUAUCUAACUAGGGGCUACGUGGCAACGUUCUAUAGAACCUCCAAUACGUAUUGACUUUAUAGGACACAUGCCUUGACUUAUAAGGUAAGUUUUUCUACAUAAGAGCUACAUAGUUAGCUUGGUCUUUAAGCUAAUAACAUGUGUGGCACAUAGCAAACUUGUUGACCAUGUUUCUAAUCCCAAAAAGUCAAUUAAAGAUACCUAUAAAGUCAAAGCAGUAUCUAUGAAGCUUCUAAGAAGCUUCCAUAAUAAAUACUAUAGAAUUAACUUAUUUUUACUUACUUUUACUUACUUCUAUCUAUUUAUACAUGUAAUUAUUUGCUUCUAUGCAUAUGUCCAUGACACUACCCCCUCUUCUAGGAACAAGUUCUAUGAGGAGCGGUAAUCAUAUGUUGAGGAAAUCUAUGAUGCGGCGAAUUAUAUUUGUCACAUACUCUGAUCUUUGUUCUCUUCAAAGAUGAUAGAUAGGGCCUUUCAACUAUCGGUAGUGUCCCAUACUAGGAUAGGAAGACCACCUAGUUAUUUCAUCAUUGUUGAGGCCUUCAUAACUUCCUUCGAAUAAAAUAAUUGGAACACUAUUAGGAGUUGUUCUUAACUCUUGUAAAAUCACCAAACAUCGAGAGUCCCUUCCAAGGUCGUGAUACCAAAUGCAUUGUAUCUCACCAUCUAUUCAAGGAAGAACAUGUUGUUCUUGAAGAUCUUCAUCUCAAUUGCGUCGUCUUGAAGGUUGUGAUAAUCGUAAUAUCUCGUCCGAUAGAUCAACAAACAAAGGCUCUUGAGUCAAAUCCACUGAUUAUUGGUUCUCCAUUUUUUGAGCAUCACAACUACAAAGAAGCUACAAACAAGGAUUGAAAGUAGAAUGUUAUCUUAUCUAGAUCUUGUUUCUUCUAUAAGAAAGGUUUUUAUUUCGAUUUUGAUGGAUAUCGUCGAUAAAAAGCCUCCACAGUCUUUCUUGCAUUUACAAGAUUCUUUACUCGCUCCCAUGUAUAUGUACUAAUAUCAUAUCCAUGCCAAUGGACAAGAUAUUCUAAUUUAUUUUGGUGUCACCUUGAAUCUAAGACUUCUUCCACUUCAAACUCUUCAUUAUUGUCUACUUCUAUAUGAAGAGGUGGAACUUGUCUUCUUCUUGAUAUGUCUACUAUCUUGUAUGGUUCAAGAAGAGAUACAUGGAAUACUAGAUGGAUUUUCAUUGACUCCGAUAGAUGUAAACGAUAUGCAACUGGAUUGAUUUGUGCUGAAAUAGAAAAUGGUCUGAGCCUUCGAUAGUCCAACUUAUCACAAAGACGAGUGGUCUUGAUAUUGCGAUAAAGUAACCAUACGUUACCAUCCAUGUGGAAUGGUGGUAAUUUCUUUCGAUAGACAUCCGCAUUGACCUUUUGUUGUUCUUGAGCUUCUUUUAACUAAGCCUUCAUCGUUGUAUGUAGCUUUGAUAAAUGAAUUGCCAAAUCUUUUGCAAUAGGAUUAUUAACUUUUGGAAAGUCAAAAGUAUCAAAUCAUGGAUGAUAACCAUAAUUAAUAAAGAAAGGUAUUUAUUUUGUAGAAGAAUGUACCGUGUUAUUGUAAGCAAACUCUAACAAUGGCAAAAGAGUUGUCCAAUCAUCUUGUUGGUAGUUAAUGGUACAUCUUAAAUACUGCUCCAAAACUUGAUUAACACGCUCUAUUUGUCCAUCAGUUUGAGGAUGGAAUGCCAAGGAUAGUUUUAUAUCCACUUUUAGAAUCUUGAAAAGAAUCUACCAAAAUCUUGAUACAAAUUGAAAUCCCCUAUCUAAUAUAAUAUCCUUGGAUAAUCCAUGAUAGUAAUAGAUAUUUUUAAGAAAGAGCUUAGUUGUGUCUUCACUUGUGAUAGAUUUUGAAUAUGGUACAAAAUGUGCCAUCUUGGUAAAACGAUCUAUUAUCACGAAUAUAGAGUCAUAAGAACCUGAGAUUAGAAAAUCCAUGAUGAAAUCCAUAGAAAUAAAAGACCAUGGUUGUUUUGGAAUGGGUAAUGGCUGAAGAAGUCCAUAAAGUAGAUGACGAGGAGUUUUUGAUUUCGAGCAAACAUCAAAAGUUUGUACAAAAUCUUUGACUGUUUUCCACAUUUGUGGCCACCAAAAGUCCUUGGAUAUUAGUUCCUAAGUUUUAUUGUAUCCAAAAUAUCCUGCUAUUGGAAAAUCAUGAUGAGCUUGAAGAACAUGUAAUCAAGCUUCACCUUCUGGAACAUAUAGGCGUCCUUCAAAAUAUAGUAGAUUCUUCUUGAAUUCAAACUUGGAAGUAUCAUGAGACUUUGAAGGAUUUCUCUUCAUAUUACAAAUAAGACAAUCAGAAGACAUACUUAACUAAACUUGCUUAAUGAAAGUUGAAUGAACAGUUAGUAUUGAUUUCAUUGUUCAAAGAUGAAGAUGCUCUGGCUUCAAGAGAAUUGUUCGUUGUUGAUCAAAAGUAGCAUCUCCUUCUUUUGGUAUAAGAUAAGAUCGUCUAAAAAGUGCAUCUGACAAACCUUAUUAUUUUCCUGGUCGAUAAGUGAUCUUGAAUUCAAAAUUUGACAAAGAUAUACUCCAACGGGCUUGGCAACAAUUCAAAAUAAGUGCUGACAUAAAAUAUUUAAGGUUCUUGUGAUCUUUAUACACUGUGACUGGACUAGAAGCACCUUCUAGAUAAUGGCGUCAUUCUUGAAACGUAUCCAUGAUUGCAAGGAAUUUUUUGUUAUGGAUCUCGUAGUUGAUCUCGGUUGCUAAAACUUUUUUGGAAUGAAAAGCUAUUGGAUGAAGUUUAUCAUCUAUUUUUAUUUGUGAUAAUACAGCACCCAAAGCAAAGUCUCAUGCGUCUGUUUCCAUAAAAAAUUGCUUAGAAAAAUCCAUGCGAUACAAGAUUGGUGUAGAAACAAAGGUUGUCUUCAAAGUUUCAAAUGCUACUUAUGCUUCUUGAUUCUAUUGAAGUUUGUCUUUACAAGUUAAACGUGUAAAUAAAGCUGCAACUUAAGAGAAGUCUUUGAUGAAGAUUCGAUAGUAGUUGACAAACCCCAAAAAACAUUGGACAUCUCUUACCAUUUUUGAGAUCUUCUAAUCUAUAAUAGUUUGAACUUUCUUAGGAUCCAUCAUAAGUCCAUCAUUUGAAAUGAUGUAUCCUUAGAGGUCGACUUGAGUAGUGUGAAAUACACACUUUUCUAUCUUGGCAUAGAGUCCUGCAUCACUUAGUUUUUGUAAUACUUGACGAAUAUGAAGUUCAUAUUCUUCUGAAUUCUUAGAAUAGGUUCAAAUGUCGUUUAGGUAACAGACAACAAAAUCAUCUAAAAACUCCGGAAGGACAUCAUUCAUUAGAUGUUGGAAUGUUGCUGGUGCAUUUGUAAGUCCAAAAGGCAUGAUGUUGUAUUCAAAAUGUCUAUACCUUGUUCGAAACACAAUCUUCUAUUCAUCUCCUUCUUUGAUGCAUACCAAAUUGUAUGCUCUUCGUAGAUCUAUUUUUGUAUAUCUUAGCUUCAUUCAACUGAUCAAGAAGCCCAGAUAUCAAAGGUAGUGGUGUCGUGAUACGUGAAGUCUUGCUUGACAAUGCAUCGAGCACCUCGCUCUAGAAGGUAAAAGAAAAUUGCAACAAAAGGUCCUAACAAUCUAAUAGGAUUAUAGAGAAUUUACAAUUAAACGUUAACAAUCAUAAUCAAACAUUAAGCAAGUUGAAUUAAAUUUUAUUGAAGUUAUAAAAGAAAUACAAGGAAAUCUUAAAAAAAUAUAAAAGAAUAGUAAAGAAAACUUAGUCAAACCGUAACAAAAAUCUAAUAGAACCUUAAAUUCUAACCAAAUCUUAAUCUUAAUCCAACCUUAAUCAAAU
Molecule: long non-coding RNA, 25350 nt
Filed under: Physcomitrium patens
Lineage: Eukaryota; Viridiplantae; Streptophyta; Bryopsida; Funariales; Funariaceae
Description: long non-coding RNA (PPAT_LNC004676)
Source: RNAcentral